This 811-nucleotide ribosomal RNA is filed under the name uncultured bacterium. RNAcentral describes it as "bacterial SSU rRNA". It matches the Rfam family "Bacterial small subunit ribosomal RNA", at positions 617 to 1425 of the family's 1533-position model. The record is from RNAcentral.
GGUUUUGCAGUGGGUACGGGCUAACUAGAGUGCAGUAGGGGAGACUGGAAUUCCUGGUGUAGCGGUGGAAUGCGCAGAUAUCAGGAGGAACNCCGAUGGCGAAGGCAGGUCUCUGGGCUGUAACUGACGCUGAGAAGCGAAAGCNUGGGGAGCGAACAGGAUUAGAUACCCUGGUAGUCCAUGCCGUAAACGUUGGGCACUAGGUGUGGGGGACAUUCCACGUUUUCCGCGCCGUAGCUAACGCAUUAAGUGCCCCGCCUGGGGAGUACGGCCGCAAGGCUAAAACUCAAAGAAAUUGACGGGGGCCCGCACAAGCGGCGGAGCAUGCGGAUUAAUUCGAUGCAACGCGAAGAACCUUACCAAGGCUUGACAUAUACUGGACUGCGUCAGAGAUGGCGUUUCCCUUCGGGGCUGGUAUACAGGUGGUGCGUGGUUGUCGUCAGCUCGUGUCGUGAGAUGUUGGGUUAAGUCCCGCAACGAGCGCAACCCUCGUUCUAUGUUGCCAGCACGUGAUGGUGGGGACUCAUAGGAGACUGCCGGGGUCAACUCGGAGGAAGGUGGGGAUGACGUCAAAUCAUCAUGCCCCUUAUGUCUUGGGCUUCACGCAUGCUACAAUGGCCGGUACAGAGGGUUGCGAUACUGUGAGGUGGAGCUAAUCCCUAAAAGCCGGUCUCAGUUCGGAUUGGGGUCUGCAACUCGACCCCAUGAAGUCGGAGUCGCUAGUAAUCGCAGAUCAGCAACGCUGCGGUGAAUACGUUCCCGGGCCUUGUACACACCGCCCGUCAAGUCACGAAAGUUGGUAACACCCGAA